RNAcentral lists this ribosomal RNA (114 nucleotides) under Acanthosepion pharaonis. The record is from RNAcentral. Lineage: Eukaryota; Metazoa; Mollusca; Cephalopoda; Sepiida; Sepiidae.
UUACGGUCAAAUCACGCUGAAACACCGGUUCUCGUUCGAUCACCGAAGUUAAGCAUUGUAGAGCCAGGUCAGUACUUAGAUGGGGGACCGCUUGGGAACACCUGGUACUGUAAG